Molecule: ribosomal RNA, 496 nt
Filed under: uncultured bacterium
Lineage: Bacteria
Description: partial 16S ribosomal RNA
Rfam family: Bacterial small subunit ribosomal RNA
Source: RNAcentral
AUGAACGCUGGCGGCGUGCCUAAUACAUGCCAGUCGAGCGAACGGACGAGAAUCUUGCUUCUCUGAUGUUAGCGGCGGACGGGUGAGUAACACGUGGAUAACCUACCUAUAAGACUGGGAUAACUUCGGGAAACCGGAGUUAAUACCGGAUAAUAUUUUGAACCGCAUGGUUCAAAAGUGUAAGACGGUCUUGCUGUCACUUAUAGAUGGAUCCGCGCUGCAUUAGCUAGUUGGUAAGGUAACGGCUUACCAAGGCAACGAUGCAUAGCCGACCUGAGAGGGUGAUCGGCCACACUGGAACUGAGACACGGUCCAGACUCCUACGGGAGGCAGCAGUAGGGAAUCUUCCGCAAUGGGCGAAAGCCUGACGGAGCAACGCCGCGUGAGUGAUGAAGGUCUUCGGAUCGUAAAACUCUGUUAUUAGGGAAGAACAUAUGUGUAAGUAACUGUGCACAUCUUGACGGUACCUAAUCAGAAAGCCACGGCUAACUACGUG